Molecule: ribosomal RNA, 253 nt
Filed under: uncultured bacterium
Lineage: Bacteria
Description: partial 16S ribosomal RNA
Rfam family: Bacterial small subunit ribosomal RNA
Source: RNAcentral
GACGUAGGGCGCGAGCGUUGUCCGGAUUUGUUGGGCGUAAAGAGCUCGUAGGCGGCUUGUCGCGUCGUCCGUGAAAACCUGGGGCUCAACCCCAGGCUUGCGGUCGAUACGGGCAGGCUAGAGUUCGGUAGGGGAGACUGGAAUUCCUGGUGUAGCGGUGAAAUGCGCAGAUAUCAGGAGGAACACCGGUGGCGAAGGCGGGUCUCUGGGCCGAUACUGACGCUGAGGAGCGAAAGCGUGGGGAGCGAACAGG